GUUAUACAAUAAAUAUUAAUUAAUAUUUUUGGUUUUGAAGUUAAAUUUAUUUCUAGUUUUAGAAUUUAAUAUAUUUAUUUUUAGGUAAAAUUUAAAUUUUUAUUAAUUUUUAUUUGGUUCUGUUGAAAUAUAUAAUAUAAACUAGGAUUAGAUACCCUAUUAUAAUAUACUUAAGUUUUAGCCAGGGUAGUAUUAGUUAUGUUCUUUAAACCUAAAGAAUUUGGCGGUGUUUUAGUCUAUUUAGAGGAACUUGCUCCUUAAUCGAUAGUCCACGAUGUAUCUUACUUGAAUUUGUAUUUUAUUUCAGUAUGUAUACCGCCGUUAUAAGUUUAUUUUAUUAGAAAAAGAAUUUACUUUAUUCUUAUUUUUGANUUAUUUC
RNAcentral lists this ribosomal RNA (379 nucleotides) under Candovia sp. H AC-2020. Its description in RNAcentral is "partial small subunit ribosomal RNA". The record is from RNAcentral. Lineage: Eukaryota; Metazoa; Arthropoda; Insecta; Phasmatodea; Lonchodidae.